RNAcentral lists this ribosomal RNA (253 nucleotides) under uncultured bacterium. RNAcentral's name for it is "partial 16S ribosomal RNA". It matches the Rfam family "Bacterial small subunit ribosomal RNA", at positions 524 to 776 of the family's 1533-position model. The record is from RNAcentral.
UACAGAGGUCUCAAGCGUUGUUCGGAUUCAUUGGGCGUAAAGGGUGCGUAGGUGGCGGGGCAAGUCUGGUGUGAAAUCUCGGAGCUCAACUCCGAAACUGCACUGGAUACUGCCUUGCUCGAGUACUGGAGAGGAGAUUGGAAUUUACGGUGUAGCAGUGAAAUGCGUAGAUAUCGUAAGGAAGACCAGUGGCGAAAGCGAAUCUCUGGACAGUUACUGACACUGAGGCACGAAGGCCAGGGGAGCAAACGGG